UUUCAUUUCAUAGUGAGAGGAAGGAAGUUGACUAAAAAUAUAAAGAAGGUAUCACUCAGGCCUAUUUUAAAAGGUGCUCUCAAAAAGUGCUCCCAGUGG
Molecule: long non-coding RNA, 99 nt
Organism: Lontra canadensis (Northern American river otter)
Lineage: Eukaryota; Metazoa; Chordata; Mammalia; Carnivora; Mustelidae
Exons: 3
Source: RefSeq, a predicted model, not a curated record